GCAUCGUUGGUUCAGUGGUAGAAUUCUCACCUUUAAUGAGGGUGACCUGGGUUCGAUUCCCGGCCAAGACA
Molecule: transfer RNA, 71 nt
Filed under: Loxodonta africana (African savanna elephant)
Lineage: Eukaryota; Metazoa; Chordata; Mammalia; Proboscidea; Elephantidae
Rfam family: tRNA
About the family: Transfer RNA (tRNA) molecules are approximately 80 nucleotides in length. Their secondary structure includes four short double-helical elements and three loops (D, anti-codon, and T loops). Further hydrogen bonds mediate the characteristic L-shaped molecular structure. tRNAs have two regions of fundamental functional importance: the anti-codon, which is responsible for specific mRNA codon recognition, and the 3' end, to which the tRNAs corresponding amino acid is attached (by aminoacyl-tRNA synthetases). tRNAs cope with the degeneracy of the genetic code in two manners: having more than one tRNA (with a specific anti-codon) for a particular amino acid; and 'wobble' base-pairing, i.e. permitting non-standard base-pairing at the 3rd anti-codon position.
Source: Rfam by way of RNAcentral